GACAUUAAUUAAGAAUAACGUGGACACAAUCCCAGCAAAAUACAAAGUUGAAUUUCACAUUAUUUUAUCUAUUUACAUUAUGUGGAUAAAGGCAUACAAAGCACAAACAUUAUAGUUAUUACACCUUGCACACACAUUUUUUACAUUUAAUGGGUACAAAAUAAAUACAUAAUUAUGUUUUUGGUGGCAGCAAUACUUGAUUUAGAUAUGCUCCAAGGGCCCAUAUGGG
Long non-coding RNA from Ipomoea nil (Japanese morning glory), 229 nucleotides. RefSeq lists it as uncharacterized. Lineage: Eukaryota; Viridiplantae; Streptophyta; Magnoliopsida; Solanales; Convolvulaceae. The record is from RefSeq and is a predicted model, not a curated record. The transcript is spliced from 2 exons.